UACGAAGGGGGCUAGCGUUGCUCGGAAUUACUGGGCGUAAAGCGCACGUAGGCGGAUUGUUAAAUCGGGGGUGAAAUCCUGGAGCUCAACUCCAGAACUGCCUUCGAUACUGGCGAUCUCGAGUUCGGGAGAGGUGAGUGGAACUGCGAGUGUAGAGGUGAAAUUCGUAGAUAUUCGCAAGAACACCAGUGGCGAAGGCGGCUCACUGGCCCGAUACUGACGCUGAGGUGCGAAAGCGUGGGGAGCAAACAGG
RNAcentral lists this ribosomal RNA (253 nucleotides) under uncultured bacterium. Its description in RNAcentral is "partial 16S ribosomal RNA". It matches the Rfam family "Bacterial small subunit ribosomal RNA", at positions 524 to 776 of the family's 1533-position model. The record is from RNAcentral.